UAGGGAAUAUUGCGCAAUGCCCGAAAGGGUGACGCAGCGACGCCGCGUGAGGGAUGAAGGCCUUCGGGUUGUAAACCUCUGUCACCCGGGAAGAACAUGCUGGCGGUGAACAAUCGCCGGCGUUGACGUUACCGGGAAAGGAAGCACCGGCUAACUCUGUGCCAGCAGCUGCGGUAAUACAGAGGGUGCAAACGUUGCUCGGAUUCACUGGGCGUAAAGGGCACGUAGGUGGCCCGGUAACUCAGUCGUGGAAUCCCGCCGCUCACCGGUGGAAUUGCGACUGAAAAUGCCAGGCUUGAGAGCAGGAGGGGUGAGAGGAACUCUAGGUGGAGCGGUGAAAUGCGUAGAUAUCUAGAGGAACGCCGGAGGCGAAAGCGUCUCACUGGCCUGCUUCUGACACUGAGGUGCGAAAGCCAGGGGAGCAAACGGGAUUAGAUACCCCCGUAGUCC
Molecule: ribosomal RNA, 450 nt
Filed under: uncultured bacterium
Lineage: Bacteria
Description: bacterial SSU rRNA
Rfam family: Bacterial small subunit ribosomal RNA
Source: RNAcentral